AUACGAACCGGACGAACGUUAUUCGGAAUUAUUGGGCUUAAAGGGUGCGUAGGCGGCCGCAUAAGUCGGGUGUGAAAUCCCUCGGCUCAACCGAGGAAUUGCGCCCGAUACUGUGUGGCUCGAGGGAGACAGAGGCGAGCGGAACUGAUGGUGGAGCGGUGAAAUGCGUUGAUAUCAUCAGGAACACCGGUGGCGAAGGCGGCUCGCUGGGUCUCUUCUGACGCUCAUGCACGAAAGCUAGGGUAGCAAACAGGAUUAGAUACCCUGGUAGUCCUAGCUGUAAACGAUGAGCACUUGGUCGGGGACCUUCCCAUGGGUUCCCGGCCGUAGCGAAAGUGUUAAGUGCUCCGCCUGGGGAGUAUGGUCGCAAGGCUGAA
Molecule: ribosomal RNA, 377 nt
Filed under: uncultured bacterium
Lineage: Bacteria
Description: bacterial SSU rRNA
Rfam family: Bacterial small subunit ribosomal RNA
Source: RNAcentral